UAACACAUCCAUCAGCGCAGCUGUUCUUAUAUGACAGUUGUGGCCUUCCUCUGUGGGAAAGAAACUGUUAACACAGUUAAAUACCUCCUUCUUAGCAAAACAGAAAGUGGAUAUAUGUGUGACAGACAAAA
Molecule: small nucleolar RNA, 131 nt
Organism: Otolemur garnettii (small-eared galago)
Lineage: Eukaryota; Metazoa; Chordata; Mammalia; Primates; Galagidae
Source: Ensembl